GGGCAGGAGAAGAGACUCGAGCGGCACCCGAGCCGCAUCCACGCCGCCCGCCCGCCCCUGGGGUCUGGGUAGGUAACGGGCCCGGCGGGAAGGAGGGGCUCCCAGGCCGUCCCUCCCAGCGCUCACCUCAGCUCCUCGUCGACAUUCCCGCGGGGCUGUUCGGCCGACGCCACCAUAGAGGAAGUCGUAGAGGUCUUGUUCUUCAAGAUCCCCUUGAUGGGCCGGUGCGAGGCCGUCGAGGCCGCCAUUGCCGGGCGCUCCGGCUGUCGGCUCAGGGUCGCUGCUUGGCGUGGGGUCCGCGAAGAGAAGGGUCGGCACAGCAGAGACUCGCAGGCAGCCGCAGAUCCCGCUCAGGGCUAAAGCGGCCGCAACUGCUGCCUCGGAAACGGCUACCGCAGCGGUUGUCACGACACAACGACCCCGACGCCAGAGCCAACGCCGAACGGGUGGCGGCUACUCGCGCACCCUUAGCCACUGGCACUUGACCCGCGGCUCGCGGAGAGACGCCGGCCUAGAGCUCCAGCGCAGGAGCGACGCGACGCCGAAGCCAAGCGGACCCGCCCUCUCGCGAUAUCUAGGGAGGAGGCGGGGAGAGGGCGGGGCGAGAACAAAGCCGACCUCCUCGCCCCGCCCCCUCCGUCCCGCCCGGGCUGCUCGCCCCGCCCCCGCGCGGCGCUGGGAGGCGGGAGCUGUCUCUGAGAACCUGCGGGAGAGCGCCCGGGCUUGCUGCUUCCCGGACCCGCGCGUCUCUCGAGCACCCUCGUCCCACCACCUUGUGAGGCCGUAGUGUUAUUUUUAUUUUUUAGAUCAGCAGACUGAGACUCGAGGUGACGUCACUCCGCAGAGAGGUUAGCUGACUUGAAGAAAACGGGUAUCUCCUCUUUCCAUUUCGCCCGUGUAAACAGCCGAACUGCCUAUUAUAAAAGCAUGGACUGCCAGCAUUGGAGUGGUCCUUAGAGGCCUAUUAUGAAAUCAUAGAAUGUCUGCAUUGGAAUCGCCUCACCUCCUUUUACCGCUGGAGAAGCCGACGGACAGACGGGCAGCGACCCCCGCCGUCGCACAACCCGUCUAGGCAGAGAGCGCAGGAGACGGGAGGGCGGCAGGGACACAUCUCCCAGCCAAGGACCUCCUGGGCCCGCAGAGGCCGCGACAGGUUCCCCCCACAGAGGGAACCAACUCUGCCGCAGGUUGAUGUGGACUUCAAGCCUGCAGAACGGAGAGCCCAUUUCCAUUGCUUAAAGCCACCUCGUGUGUGGUAUUUGUUAUGGUCCCUGUACACUCCCUUCCCUCCCUCUCCCAAGUCCAGUCCGCAGCUCGCUCAUCACCAGGCUCUUUUCCAUGACUCUUUCUUGAUCAGGCCUUUUUAUCGUCCUCACCACAGGUUAGAGCACAGCAGACUGAGCCACCCAGAACUGGCCCCUCCGGUGGACCAGCCCCUGCGGAUUCACAGACCACUGGUCCUGGAAGGGACCUUGUCAAGCAGGCCCAUAAGGUGGCUAUUCAGCCUGUUUCUCCAACAACCCCAGGGGCUAGAAGCCCGCCACACCCCCGUGUAACUCAUUUUGUUUUUGGACAGCUCUGACUCUGGGAGUUCUUAGAUUGAGCUGACACCUCGCUCCCAGCAAUGUCUGUCCACUGCUGUGGGGGGUGAGAGGAAGCGUUUUCCCCUAUCUAGCCCCUAUAGCAGCAGUUUCACUCCCAUGGCUCAUCUCUGGACCACAGUCUCAUCUUCUUUAACACAGGCUCUGUGCCUUUUGAGGAUGACCCUGUUCUGUGUCCUUAGGACUCUGCCCCUCAGGGAUGACUGUAGGGUUCUGAAAACGAUUGUUUUUAUCGUCUGGCCCCGAGCCCCUAGCUCCUAGAUGAGUUCCUGGCACAGAACAGGGCCUCAGUAUGGGAAUGGAUGUGGAUGGAGAUAAUGGAGGGGAAGUGAGCUGGAAGGGGAGAAGGGAAACAGGGUUGCUGGUCACAGAGUGGAAUGUGUUCCCCAGGGAUUUGCCUCAGCCAGGGGCCUGCACAGUCACUGUUGGCACUGUCCCCACCUUUGUUCCCAGUCAAAUAUCCACUGGUGCCGUCUCUCCCUCCCAGGCCAGGACUGCUCAGUGGAUCUAACAUUACACCCUGACAGCCCUGUCCAGCCCAUGGAGCAGAGAGAGAGGGUUCUCAGCGAGGGGAAGCAGGAUGGCCACCUCCCUUCCCUUCCUGAGUUCUUUCCACCCCAGUGUUCAACACCUGUGUUGCGUCUCCUGCCCUGUCAGCAGGAGUCUAGGUCAGUGAUGGCAAUCCUGUUUUCAAGGGAAUACACAAACUUCCCUGUAUGUUCCAAAUUAUUGGGCAGAUUUGCUUUGUUCCUGCUUGGGCUGGGAAGCAUCACUGAGUUCAGCAUCCCUGAACUCAACUGUGACUGGGCCCUUGAUUAAGCAACAGCUUGCUUUCAGACCCUCUAAUGAAAGGGACUACGAUCGUAUGACAUAAAGUGUUUUAUUAGUUAAUUAACUAACAAACAUUGGAACAGGAGGUGAUGAAGAGUUCUCUGAAGAACCUUGGAAACAUAUUUCCCUCAUCAAGAGUUAAACUUUUGUCUCCUGUACUGGUUCUUCCACUCCCAAACCCACAACAAAUGAAUGCAGAUGAAGAUGACUUUGGUAGCACUUAAAAAAAAAUAGUUUGUAAAAUUGUGAGGGCCAGUACUGCUUUUUUUUUUUUUUUUUUUGAGACAAAGUCUUGCUCUGUCGCCCAGGCUGGAAUGCAAUGGCACAAUCUCCACUCACUGCAACCUCUGCCUCCUGGGUUCAAGUGAUUCUCCUGCCUCAGCCUCCCGAGUAGCUGGGACUACAGGUGCCUGCCACCACACCCAGCUAAUUUUUGUAUUUUUAGUAGAGAUGGGGUUUCAUCAUGUUGGCCAGGCUUGUCUCAAACUUCUGACCUCAGGUGAUCUGCCCGCCUCAGCCUCCCAAAGUGCUGGGAUUAUAGGCAUGAGCCACCACACAUGGCCUGCUUUUCCUUAUCUUUCAGAAUAGUUGAACUACUUUAUUCCUCAGUGUGGCCCAAAUAAGAUUUUCAAAUGCCUCUAAACAGAGCUCUCCUUCUGUGCCUCUGCUGAGGUUUGCUCCUGUAGGAAGUUAUCUGGACCAAACAGCCCGAGCACUGAAUUUAGCUGUAUUGCUGUUACAUUUCCUGUGUGUUGAGGGUUUGGCUGCCAGGAGGUGAAUUGUAGAUAGAAUCUUUCAUUCUGGUUUCAGUUUCUGGAAGUAGCUAUUGAGCUCAAGGCAAAUCAUAUAUUUAAAGAUAUAUACAUGAUUUAAGGAUAAUCUGGCAUUUAUCUCUGCUCUCUUUUUGAAGACUUCAUUAUCAUGGUUGCCUGACCCAACACAACAUAUUUGGAGGAGGAGAGGGGACACUUUUAUUGUACCCCAUCACGUGGCUGAGUCAUUUGGCUCUCCAUUCACUGGAACAGACGACUAUGGACACCACCAUUGGGUUUCCCACCAAGGACAGAGUUCCAAAGCAACAGUGGCUUCCAUGGUUGGCUCACCCAGCCUGCCUGAGUCAUCAGCUAGGUCCACAGAGUAGAGAAGUGGGUAGUGCCCCCGCCUAACAUCUGGAAAAAUUCCCAAAAGUUGUGACUUCAUGACCACUGAGUCAGCAGCAACUCUUUUCUUGCCAAGAAUAGCACAUUGUUCUUUUCCUUUUCAGGUAAUCCCUCCCCGGAAAGAGAAGAUCACAGAUUUUGUCAUAUUAAAUACAUUGUAGAAAUUCAUGGUAGCAGGGGCAAGAUCAUUUAAACAAAACAGAAAGUUUCAGAGAGAGAAAAAGCCAAGGACAAAGAUUAAUCAUUUUUCUGCUUAAAAAAAAUGGCUUUGAUUUGCAACCAUGGAAUGCUCCACUGUUUCUCUUCUCUUCAAAGACAUCUACUGAAAGGAUUCCUUAACCUUACCAAGUGGCCAAAAUACUUUUCUGAGAAGAGUCACAGAGCAUAGGCCCCCCUAGGGUACACAGAGAUUUCAUUAGUCCCUAGAUGUUUCCUGAUCCUUUUAAAAACUGGUUAAAUUCAGAGACUCUAGGCAAUUACUUCUUUCAGAACCUGUGAGGCAAAAACGAAAGAAGAAGGCAGGACACGCAGUGUAACAAACCUUGGAAUGGUAAGUAGGAAAUAUGAGUUAGUUUUUUGGCUAAGCUAUGAAUUUACCUUGUGCCUGCCAGAAAUCACUCAGUCUUUUGUGACUGUAAAUUUUCUGUAAGUGUUAAUUGGUUUGGUUUAUUAUUGCAAGAAGCAAGGGAGCAAUGUUGUGUAUUAUAAUUUCAUUGUGUCAAUUUUGCCAAAUUAUCUUGCAUUUUGUUAUUCUAUGAACUCAUAAUGGGAUAAGGAGUAUAGGCUUUGAUUCAGAACAUAUGUGAUGUUGCUAUAAAUGCUUCAUGGAAAACCCUAAAUAUAUUUUGAAGCCUACAUAGUCAAAAGUCACCAUUGGAAGACUUUUUUACUUUACUAUUGUAUUUAUGCUCGUUAGCACUCAUUCUUGUUUGAAACGUCUCAAAUGCGUAAUUUUAUUAUUUUAUUUGUUGUCUCCAGAUUGGUCUGAGGACUCCGCUUUCUUCACUGCCCAUUCAUCUUCAUACUGUUCUCAUAUUUUUUUUUAAAUUGGGAUAUGCAAUGAUCCUUAGUUUAUAAAUUCAACUCCACUUUGCCACACACAGUGUUACGCUUGGGGAAACAAUUAGAACUUGCCCUUCUUGGCCAGGCGCGGUGGCUCCCGCCUGUGAUCCCAGCACUUUGGGAGGCCAAGGUGGGCAGAUCACGAGGUCAAGAGAUGGAGACCAUCCUGGCCAACAUGGUGAAACCCCGUCUCUACUAAAAAUACAAAAAUUAGCUGGGCAUGGUGGCGCGCGCCUGUAGUCCCAGCUAUUUGGGAGGCUGAGGCAGGAGAAUCGCUUGAACCCGGGAGGCAGUGGUUGCAGUGAGAUUGCGCCGCUGCACUCCAGCCUGGUGACAGAGCAAGACUCCAUCUCAAAAAAAAAAAAAAAAAAAAAGAACUUGCCCCUCUUUUUUUUUUUUUGCUCAAGGAACUCAGUCUGCCGUGGUUGCUCAUUGUCUAGGAUGAAGUCCAAAUCCCUUGGGCCUUCACAAUCCAGCCCUGUCUGUUCUUCUAGUCUCCUUCUCUUUUUACAUCCACUUGCUUUCUGCUAUGUUCUUCACACUAGUCACACUGCCCUUCUCAGGGUGUCAGAGCAACCUAUAUUCUGUCCCUUUUUCAUGCCUUUACUAAUCUAUGUGAAAUACCAUCCCCUAUUCUUGCUUUUAAAUUACCCCAGUUCAAAGGUCAUCUCCUUCUCCGACUCCACGCAGGCCGAGUUAGUGUUCACCUUCACUGAGAUCCUAAGGAGCUGUUUGCAUUCCUCUAUCUCAUUGUAUCAUCAUUGUCUAAGUGUCCGUCCCUCUGCUGUGGCCUCUUUGGGAGCAGGUGCAUGUCUUCCUCCUCUUUCUCCCCUGACAGCAUAACUUAAUGAAUACAGUGUCUGCCGUAAGAGGCCCUCGAUACAUGUUGGUUAUGUAAAUCAAAGAAAAUGACCAAGGCGAGUCUCGAUGAUUUGGGUUUAUUUGCCAAGGUUAAGGAUGCACUCAGGAAAGAACACAGAUCCACAGGAAGAACUGUGCUCCAUGCUUUUUCCAAAGAGGGUCUGGGGACCUCAAUAUUUAAAGGGAAAAGAAUGAAUAUUGGAGAAAGAGAAAGAAAGUUUUUUUUUACAAAGGGUGUGGGUGGAUAAGAGGCAAGCAGUUGCAUUCUUUUGAGUCUUUGAUCAGCCAUUUACAUGUGAGAGGGUGGUAGAGGUACAGUCACUUACACAUUCAAUGAAUCUGCAUUUUUUACAUAACAUAAACAUAGGGCAGAGGAAGCAAUCAGAUAUGCCUUUGUCUCAGGUAAGCAGAGGGAUGUCUUUGAUUUCUGUCCUUUGCCCCAUACCUGCAAAGAUAAGCUAUCAGUAUACAUUGCCAGGGUGAGAUUCAACAGAACUGUUUUAGAGUAAAGAUCUGGGAGCCCACAGGAAUUACCCUGUGGGCAAAUUGUGAGGGAGGUCUGUAGCUUUAUUAUCUUGUAGCUAUCUAUUUAGGAACAAAAUGGGAGGCAGGUUUGCAAGACCCAGUUCCCAGCUGGACUUUUCCCCUUUGGCUUAGUGAGUUUAGGGUCCCAAGAUUUAUUUUCCUUUCACAGUUGAAUCAGGGAAUAAAUGAGUUAACUGUUCCUAAAUUCGACCUCCCCAAUAAUGGUGUCCAUAACAACAUCAAUUUCUUGGAAAGCAAUCUGACUAUAUAUCUUGUUCUGCAUGGCUAAGGAAGGCAUUAGCAGCUAUAAUGCUGGAAAGGAAAUAAUAGAAAUAAGAAAGACUGCUGAGUCAAUAGAGAAUGCAUUACAAAGAGGAAAUUGUCCUGUCACCAGUCAGAAAUCUUAAUUGAGGUCUGUUAUGUGCCAGGUCCUUUUCUAGGUAUUGUCUAUUGCUUAGUUUAUUGCAGAAAUAAACUACAGCAGGUACUGUAUUUCCUCUUUUCAUUUUAAUUUAAUUUAAUUUAAUUUUUUUUUGAGGUGGAGUCUCGCUCUGUCACCCAGGCUGGAGUACAGUGACGUGAUCUCGGCUCACCACAAACUCUGCCUUCUGGGUUCAAGAGAUUCUCUUGCCUCAGCCUCCCAAAUAGCUGGGAUUAUAGGUACAUGCCACCAUGCCCAGCUAUUUUUUGUAUUUUUAGUAGAGAUGGAGUUUCACCAUGUUGGCCAGGCUGGUCUCGAACUCCUCACCUCAGGUGAUCCACCCGCCUCGGCUUCCCAAAGUGCUGGGAUUACAGGUGUGAGCCACCACGCCUGGCCUCCUCUUUUCAUUUUAGGUUCAGAACCCU
Molecule: long non-coding RNA, 6886 nt
Filed under: Homo sapiens (human)
Lineage: Eukaryota; Metazoa; Chordata; Mammalia; Primates; Hominidae
Description: HSALNT0317443
Source: RNAcentral